CACUCUCUCAGCUCCUCAUUACUGAUUCGCCCACGCGAGCAGCACUCCGUCACUGGCCAUGGGUUUCCACGUGAGGCAUAGGCCUGCCUUAUAUAAAGAGACUGACGGCACUUUCAGCCAAUAGUCACAUAAGCAUCUUUGUGCCCGCCUACUUUCAUUGGAAACGCAAUUUUCUGAGCCAGUCUGAUUGGUCGAGGAGAGACUUGGCUGGUGGAGUUUGAAUUGAGGUCAUUGCUCGCGCUGGAGAUUCAGGGCAACAGUGUGAGGAAACACUGAACCAAAGUAAGUGCAGUGUGUCAGGCGAUACUGGAGGCAGAACCGAGAAGCCCAGGAACCUUACUGUACAGAAGUUCGCCUUGGGGGGAAAAAAGGUUGGACUGACAGGGCUGCUGCAAAUGCAGGACGUGGGACCACUGGAGUGGAUUGGAUAAUGAUUGUUGCUGUGGGGGUCAUCUGACUGAGAAGACACUAAAUUCCAAGCUAACAAGAUACCCAGGCCUAAUUUGAUUCCACUGUGUCAUAAUGCCACUGAGAUGAUGGGGUAAUUUUCUUAAUAACAGCACGAAUGCAGAAGUCCAUCUUCAUGUCUGAAGACGCAAACUCAAAACCGUACCUAUUUUCCUCUCUGGAGGGCCAGGACCAGGCCACUGGCUGCAGUUCCAUGGCAACGCUUCAUCGAAUUGGCAGUUUUGCAGAGGCAGGAGAGCUUGGACUGGCCUCAGAGGGCAGUGACAGCAGCAGUCAGGACCCUUCUGCCUCACCCCACAGUGACCGCAAGAUGGCACACUCCUUGCAUGAGGAUGUGGAGAUGAAGAGCAGUGGUUCCAGUGGAAGUGGGACUGAAUCACAAGGAAAUGAGUCUCAUGGCAAUGAGUCACAUGGAAACUCAUCAAACGGGAAUGAAUCCACCGGAAGUUCUAAUGGCAAUAGCAAGGAUUCGGCCCUUUUGGAAUCGUCAGGGAGCAACAAGAGCUCCAACUCCCACAGUCCCUCACCUCCCAGCAGCUCCAAUGCCUUCAGUCUGCUAAGUGCAAGUUCUGAACAGGACAACCCUUCCACUAGUGGAUGCAGUAGUGAAGAGUCUGCCAAGGCGAAAACACAGAAGGAGCUGAUAAAAACCCUCAAAGAGCUGAAGCUCCAUUUACCAGCAGAUAAAAGGAACAAGGGCAGCAAGUCCACCACUCUGAACACACUGAAGUAUGCCCUUCGCUGUGUCAAACAGGUUGAAGCUAAUGAGGAGUACUACCAGUUGCUUAUGAUCAAUGACAGCCAGCCGUCUGGCCUGGAUGUAUCCUCAUACACGAUAGAAGAGAUCGACAGCAUCACGUCAGAAUACACGCUGAAAAAUACAGACAUGUUUGCAGUGGCAGUAUCUCUGAUCACGGGCAAGAUUGUGUACAUCUCAGAUCAGGCGGCGUCCAUUCUCAACUGUAAGCGGCACGUGUUCAAGAAUGCCAAGUUUGUGGAGUUUUUAACACCGCAGGACAUCAGCGUGUUCUACAGCUUCACCACACCAUAUAGGCUACCAUCUUGGAGCAUGUGUACAGGAGCUGAAUCUUCACCUUCUGACUGCAUGCAGGAAAAGUCAUUCUUCUGUCGCAUCAGUGGAGGUAAGGAGUGUGAGGGAGACCUGCAGUACUACCCAUUCCGUAUGACUCCUUACCUAAUGAAGGUGCAAGACACAGAGCACACUGAAGACCAGUUCUGCUGCCUUCUGCUGGCUGAAAGAGUGCAUUCCGGCUAUGAAGCUCCAAGGAUCCCCACGGACAAACGCAUCUUCACCACCACACACACCCCAAGCUGUGUGUUUCAGGAUGUUGAUGAAAGAGCUGUCCCGUUGCUUGGAUAUCUACCACAAGACCUGAUUGGUACACCAGUACUUCUGCACCUGCACCCAAACGAUAGGCCAUUGAUGCUCAGCAUUCACAGGAAGAUCUUGCAGUACGCUGGUCAGCCGUUUGACCACUCAUCCAUUCGUUUCUGUGCUCGAAAUGGAGAGUACAUCACCAUGGACACCAGCUGGUCCAGCUUCGUCAACCCCUGGAGCCGCAAAGUGUCCUUUGUCAUUGCACGACACAAAGUCCGCAUGGGUCCGGUAAAUGAGGACGUCUUUGCAGCUCCAGCCACAGCUGAGGGUAAAGCAAUGGACUCGGAUAUCCAGGAUAUCACAGAACAGAUUCAUCGGCUCCUGCUUCAGCCAGUACAUAAUAAUGGCUCAAGUGGCCAUGGAAGCCUAGGCAGUAACGAUCAUCUGGUGAGUGUGGCCUCAUCCAGCGACAGCAAUGGAAAUGGGGUCCGUCCACGUGCAGAUGAUGAAGAGGGUCGAGCCAAACCUAGGACAUUUCAGGAGAUAUGUAAAGGUGUUCAUAUGCAGAAGAGCCAGGGACAGCAGUUCAAAAAGAGUCCAAGCACAGAACUGCUCCAGAAGAGUCCGGUAGUUCGGCCCAAAGACUCAGCAUACCCAGUAAACUGGAGAGAGAGUGUGGAGGAGCAGCAGGCCACCAUACAGGAAGAACUCGCAUUGAAAGACCAGACUGUCUACUCAUACCAGCAGAUCAGCUGCCUGGACAGUGUAAUUAGGUAUCUAGAAAGCUGCAAUGUGCCUAUCACAGUGAAACGUAAAUGCCAGUCGUCCUCCAAUACCACUUCCUCUAACUCAGACGAGGACAAACAGAAGGCAGCUGAAAGCUCUAUGCAGGUGGCUGAAGCACCUGGACACCUGAAGUCCCAAGCUGGUCUUUCACCUCUGGAAGUGUCGAAGAAGCCGAGCGGCUCGGGCGUGGUGGGCACUUCGCUCACUCCCCUGGCACUGCCCAGCAAAGCUGAGAGUGUGGUGUCCAUAACCAGCCAGUGCAGCUACAGCAGCACCAUCGUACAUGUGGGGGACAAAAAAACCCAGCCGGAGUCAGAAAUCAUUGAGGAUGGACCCAGUGCUGGAGACACAGCAGAAGGCCCCACUCCAGCCACUCCUCCUGCUACAGUUUCACCUCCCAGCCAGGAACGAGAAGCAUAUAAGAAACUAGGCCUGACCAAGCAGGUGCUGGCAGCACACACGCAGAAGGAAGAGCAAGCCUUUCUCAACCGCUUCAAGGAACUAAGGGGGGUUCACACUUUCAAAGGAGACUACCUGGAGAAGCAGAAAGGACAGGCCACGUCUGAUGCCGGACCUUCUCGUGUUGGUAAACAGGGGGGGAGAGCAGAACCUGCCACUGGCCGGAGGGGCCGCAACAGAAAGUCCAAAUCCAAGCGCAUCAAACAGAACGAAUCGUCAGAUAGCACCAUCUCACAGCGGAGGCAGCUGUUCAGGCAAGAACUGCAAGGACUGAACCAGACUUCAUGGUCUCCUUCAGACACCUCACAGUCUGCCUUUCCCAUCGCAUACCCAGCCGUUGUGCCUGCAUACCCCCUCCAGGUGUACCCAGGGACCAAUACCAUGCCACCCAGGGUGGAUGCCCCACUCUCAGGAUUUGGAGACAGCCAGUGUACCCAGAAUCCACGCUUCCCCAUGCAACCCAUGCAGCCCCAGUUCCCUGCCCCUCUUGUCACACCCAUGGUGGCACUUGUGCUGCCCAACUACAUUUUCCCACAACUAGGAAGUGCCCCUCGGCAGCCUUUCUACCCUGAGCAGGCUUUGUUCCCACCCACUCAGGUUCCAUUCCAACCCCAGACGACGUUUCCUGUACAGACUCAGUUCACGCCACAAAAUCCUUUUCCAGCUCAGCCAUUUCCUUUCACGCCACUGGACAAGCAACCCAAGCCCACAGAACCAGAAACGAGGGAGGAGCCUUCACGGAGCUCCACCCCUCAGUCACUGGGUGGACGGGACCAAUCAUCUCCACCCUUGUUCCAGUCACGGUGCAGUUCACCACUGCAGCUCAACCUUUUGCAGCUGGAGGAGAGCCAACGCACCAGUGAAAGACAGGAAACCACAGCAACUUCUACUGGUACUCAAGGGAGCACUGCAGUGGAGAAAGGAGCAAACGCUGGCACGCAGACCAAGACAGACAAAGAGCCAGAAGAUGCAGAUGACCUGCACCACUGUGAUGCUUUCUCUUCAUCCAGUGAUCUGUUGGAUAUCCUCAUGCUGGAGGACUCUCGCUCCGGCACAGGGUCAGCCACAUCCGGGUCCCUGGGUUCUGCUUUUAAUGGCUGUGGCACGUCAGCUUGUGGAAGUGGUGGCUCUGCUAGUGGAACUGGGAGCAGUCACACCAGCAAUAACAGCAGUAACUACUUUGGCAGUGUGGACUCUUCACAGAAGUCCCUUAAGGCCAAGAGAAAAGGAGGUGGUGUUUCAGGAUCCUUGGAAUUAGAGGAGAGUGAGAGUUUGAUCAAAUAUGUCCUGCAGGAUCCUCUGUGGCUCCUCGCUGCCAACGUGGACAAGGCUGUAAUGAUGACAUACCAGUUGCCCUCUCGAUGCCCUGAUCCAGAACAGAAGAGUUGUGAAGGCAACCGUCACUCGUGUCGCAGAAAUCCAAGCCAUAGAAUCUAUGCAACUCAGCCAGGUAAAGCUCAACAAUAUGGAAUGCCAAAGGCGCCGAAAGGAGAGACUAUGGUACUACUUCAGUAGUCCUGAACACCAGGUGGUGCAGUGCUCCUCAUGACCCUCCGUGAAGUGAGCACCUCUCCUGAGCGAGCACCUUCCAAAUCUCGCUCCUCCUUGGUGAGUCCAGUCAGUUUCCUUUCUCACCCCAAUUUUGUUCUAACAGUUCAUAUUGCGCACUCAGGAAAUACUUCUUCUGUUUCAGCGCUGAUCGUCUCCGGUGCAGCUGGGAACUUCAUCGACUGUACCCAUGCUGAGAAGCGGGGUGUCAGUCACCCACUGUACCAAAGCUAUGUAAAUACUGUAGGCUCUGUGUCAGUGCCUUAAACCAAGAGUGCAUCUCUCUCCUCAUCACCAUCACAACCACGUUCCUGGUGGUGCUGGGUUUCCUGUGGGUGCAGACCCACGACCCCCAGCUCUCUUGGAAGGAGUGAGAAAUCACACGCUGGUUGGCACAAUGCCAUGCCAACUGUCUCUUCACCCCCUCAGUCAAUGUGGCCUCAAACUCUAUUGAAAGUAUCAGCAAGGUUUUUCUUCAUGGAGAAAAAUGGGGCGGCCCACGGCCAUGUAUCGAUUACCGUGGGCUCAAGUGAAUCAAGUCACCAUCAAGUAUCAUUAUCCCCUGCCUCUGGUUCCAGCAGCUCUGGAGCAACUACGAGAAGCUAAGAUAUUCAAGAAAUUUGAUCCACAAAGCAUCUACAACCUUGUGCAUAUCCGUGAAGGAGACAAGUGGAAGACGGCCUUCAGCACCACCUCUUGCCACUUUGAGUACUGCGUAAUGCUGUAUGGGCUAUCUUCGAUGCCAGGAGUAUUUCAGUGCCUGAUUUAAUGAUGUCUUGCAGGAGACAUUGGGGAAACUUCUUCAUAGCCUACAUCGAUGAAAUACUGCUAUACUCUCCACAUAAAUCCAGCAUGUCAAGAAGGUAUUAUCUCAGCUUCUCAAACAUCAGCUCUGUGUAAAAGGAGAAAUGUGUGAGUUCCAUGUGCACAAGGUGGCUUUCCUGGGCAACAUCAUAGGGCCAGAGGGGGUGCUCAUAGACCAGGACAAGGUUGUAGCGGUAACAAACUGGCCGGUGCCAGUUAAGGAGUUACAGUGUUUUUGGGCUUCACCAACUUCUAUUGAUGUUUCAUCCAGGGCUUCAGCAGUAUAGUAUCUCCACUAACCGCCCUGUUAAAAAAGGGAAUCAAAAAGUUGCAGUGGAACCCCUCAGCAGACCAAGCGUUCUCGCAACUCAAGGAAGCUUUCACCACAGCACCCAUAUUAAAACACCCCAAUCCCUCCAAGUCAUUCAUAAUGGUAGGUAGAUGCAUCCAAAAUGGAUGUUGGGGCCAUCCUCUCACAGCAGUCAGAAGAAAAGCUCAAGCUCCACCCAGUGGCCUCCUUUUCUAGGAAACUGUCCCCUGCUGAGAGAAACUACGACGUCGGAAAUGAAAGCUCCUUGCUGUUAAACUAACCCUGGAAGAAUGGCAUCACUGGCUGGAGGGGGCCCUCCACUCAUUCAAGCUUUACAUGGAUUACAAGAACCUAUGGUAUAUCAAGUCAGCCAGGAGAUUGAAAUUUCAUCAGGCACUCUGGGCCCUGUUCUUUGCCCACUUUGACUUCACUCUCUAGUAUCGCCAAGGUCCAAGAACACCAAAGCAGACUCCAUCUCCUACAUGUAUCCAGCACCCUCUUGGGAGCACUUGGAGGAGCGCAUCUUGCCCAAAUCAAGUUUUGUAGGAGCUCUCACCUGUGACAUUGACAGGGAGAUCGAGGGUGUUCAGGAGGUGAGGAUCCCCACUCAGUGCCCAGUGGGGAAAAGUUUGUGUCGAUUCCCAUACUGGAAAAAUUAAGGGCUCACACCUUCCCUGCCACACGACACACCAACUACUUCUUAGUAGUACAGGUGGUCAUAGAUCCUGCAAGACAUCCAUAGACUUAUCUCAUCCUGCUCAGUCUUUGCAAAAGCCAAAGUACCUUGCACCCUGCCAGCAGGCAAGCUCCUCCCACUUCCUACACCCCAAAGAGCCAUGGUCACACUUAGCCAUAGACUUCAUAACUGAUUUUCCCACAUUGCAGAGAAAAACAGUCAUCAUGCUGAUCAUGGACUGGUUUUCCAAGUCCCUAUGCCUCCCCUCAGACUGCCGUCAGCCUUUGAAAUGGCAGCACUUGUGUUCAAUGUUUAGGUACUUUGGCAUCCCUGAAGACAUAGUGAGUGACCGGGGGGCCCAGUUCACGUCUCGAGUGGGUGGUGGGGGAUCAUGGAAAAACUGGACGUCUCUGUAAUCCUGACAUCCGGCUACCACCCCCUAUCUCCCCCAAAACCAGGAGCAUUUCCAGUGGGUCUUCUAUGCUGACAACAGGAGGACUGAGCACAAUUCCUCCUAUGGGCAGAUUAUGCUCUCGAGCAUUCAGCAACCUAACUCUCACCUUUCCAGUGCCGCCUGGGUUAUCCACCACCUCUGUUCCCAUGGAACGCCAAACUUACAGACUCCCCCACUGUGGACAGCUGGUUCCAGUGGAGUGAGUAGGUGUGGGAACAGGCUCACCAACAGCCAAACAGCAGAAGUAAUAAAUUUAUAAUAGAAAAAAAGAUGGCGUGGAGAGACAAUCAACUAUGAACCAGGUGAUCGGAUAUGGCUCUCCACCAGAGACCUAUGGGUCGCUGAAGGAUGCAGAAAGCUGACACAUCACUAUAUUGGCCCAUUCAAAAUUCUCAAACACAUAAACAACAUUACGUACAAGCUGGAUCUACCACACAACAGCCAUCCAGCCCCUUCCUUUCAUGUCUUCCACCUUAAACCAGUCCCCUCACAGAAGGCAUUCCUCCACCCUCCCAGCACCGCUGGAUAUCACACACCACCCUAAUCGCAAAGCGACAUCCAGCAAGUGUUGCGGGACGACUUAGAGAAACUGAGGCAGAUGCAGAAGAGUCAGCCACGGUUUUCUGAGGAGCAGAAGAGGGAGCUGGCUGAGGUUCACCCCUGGGUGAGAGGAGGAAGUCUACCCAAAGCCA
This is an RNA transcript of Pangasianodon hypophthalmus (striped catfish), 7536 nucleotides long. It is a transcript of the gene named period circadian clock 2, with no coding region annotated. The record is from RefSeq and is a predicted model, not a curated record. The transcript has 25 exons. NCBI's taxonomy places the organism in Eukaryota, Metazoa, Chordata, Actinopteri, Siluriformes, Pangasiidae.